This 760-nucleotide long non-coding RNA is filed under the name Homo sapiens (human). Its description in RNAcentral is "non-protein coding lnc-ZSCAN4-1:1". Lineage: Eukaryota; Metazoa; Chordata; Mammalia; Primates; Hominidae. The record is from RNAcentral.
AUGCCGCAGCUGCGGGGCUCGGUGGACUCGGCGAGCAAGAGCCCCAGGACGCUGCUGGCGGCGGGCGAGGAGCUGGGGCGCGGCGCGGGGCGGCUCUAGGCGCUGUGGCCGCUCAGCGUCUGGGACCCAGCGCCGCCCAGGUCAGGGAAUCCUUGGUGUUCCCGCCCCGCAGCACCCGGGGCGGGGGAGGAGUCGGCGCGGUCGUGCGGCCGUGGAGGACAGCGAGACCCGGGGCUGCGGCUGCAGGCCGAGGGGCCCCUGGGACAGUGAGAAGCAGCGGCGGGAGCUAGUCACGGGGCAGGGAGCGCUCAGCGGUAAAGACGGCUUCAUCUGACUCCAGGGCUGGCAGGCGGCCCGGAUGGCAUGCCGUCUCCUGCGGAGAAUUCCAAUUUCCCCCUAAAUCGCUCAACAAGCGAGAAGGUUUUGGGAUUCGAAUUCAGUGGGGCAAGCGAAGUCGCCUUUCCUUCUUAAACAGAUGGAAUCCCUGGUCCACAAACGUACCCUGUGCCAAUUUCAUACAACACGCUAUGGCUGCUGCGGAUGAGAACACAGCAACUCUGCCAGAUGAAAAGCUUCAAGGCUCUGUGAAUCCAAGGUCAAAAACGCCAAAAAGGAAAGUCCUUUUCCAGGACAAGCGCACGCGUGCUGGUCGUGGAGCGCCCCCUCCUCAUGGAGACCGGCCUGGGAUUGAUGUCCUUCAUUAACAAUGAGGCUAAACUGGGCUAUUCCAUGACUGACCAGGGGCAAAAUAGGCUUUUAG